UACGGAGGGUGCGAGCGUUGUCCGGAAUCACUGGGCGUAAAGCGCGUGUAGGCUGUUCGGAAAGUCGGGUGUGAAAGCCCUGGGCUCAACCUAGGAAGUGCACUCGAAACUCCCGAACUGGAGUCCCGGAGAGGAAGGCGGAAUUCUCGGUGUAGAGGUGAAAUUCGUAGAUAUCGAGAGGAACAUCGGUGGCGAAGGCGGCCUUCUGGACGGUGACUGACGCUGAGACGCGAAAGCGUGGGGAGCAAACAGG
RNAcentral lists this ribosomal RNA (253 nucleotides) under uncultured bacterium. Its description in RNAcentral is "partial 16S ribosomal RNA". It matches the Rfam family "Bacterial small subunit ribosomal RNA", at positions 524 to 776 of the family's 1533-position model. The record is from RNAcentral.